GACGAACGCUGGCGGCGUGCUUAACACAUGCAAGUCGAACGGAAAGGCCCCUUUGGGGGUACUCGAGUGGCGAACGGGUGAGUAACACGUGAGUAACCUGCCCUUGACUUCGGGAUAACUUCAGGAAACUGGGGCUAAUACCGGAUAGGAAUCCUUGCUGCAUGGGGGGGGUUGGAAAGCUUCGGCGGUUUUGGAUGGACUCGCGGCUUAUCAGCUUGUUGGUGGGGUAGUGGCUUACCAAGGCUUUGACGGGUAGCCGGCCUGAGAGGGCGACCGGCCACAUUGGGACUGAGAGGCGGCCCAGACUCCUACGGGAGGCAGCAGUGGGGAAUAUUGCACAAUGGGCGGAAGCCUGAUGCAGCAACGCCGCGUGCGGGAUGACGGCCUUCGGGUUGUAAACCGCUUUCAGCAGGGGCGAAGCUUGUGGUGACGGUACCUGCAGAAGAAGCACCGGCUAACUACGUG
RNAcentral lists this ribosomal RNA (465 nucleotides) under uncultured bacterium. Its description in RNAcentral is "partial 16S ribosomal RNA". It matches the Rfam family "Bacterial small subunit ribosomal RNA", at positions 28 to 507 of the family's 1533-position model. The record is from RNAcentral.